Osmia bicornis bicornis is the source of this 2845-nucleotide long non-coding RNA. RefSeq lists it as uncharacterized. The record is from RefSeq and is a predicted model, not a curated record. The transcript is spliced from 4 exons. NCBI's taxonomy places the organism in Eukaryota, Metazoa, Arthropoda, Insecta, Hymenoptera, Megachilidae.
AAUAAUUUCAUGUUUUAGUCUAUUUUAAUAGUAAUAAAGAAAAUGUUUAAUAUUUAGUUAAGAAAUCGUGUGAGAUAGCAUUGUGGAAUAUUACAGCAUUUAAAUUUCCCGCGACAAAAUGGGCGCGCAGCGGUGCAUCCGAAAAAUCAAAAUUUACCGCCAGUAAUUCCGAGCUUUUUUGUUAAAAGCAGUUUUUAUAUGUUAAUUCAAUGUUGGGAUGUAUUUUUAAGAUUUUUACAAUAUUAUAUUAUAAAUUUCAAUUUUGAAACUUAUUUUAUAUUUCUUAAAAUAUUUCGACACUUGACUCGAGUAGUAAUGGCCGCCAUUACGAAUUCGUUCGCGAAGUGCCGAAGGAAGAGAUAAUUAGUACGGAUAAUAAAAGUAAAAAUGGAUGGAGUAACUGCACGUAACCUGUUGCUACUAAUAAUUAAGUGGUAUACGCUUAACGUAAGCGGUUUCCCAUGCGCCGUUUAAAUUACACGCUUUAUCAAAGAGCCAGCUGAUUAACGAAGCUCCAACCGCGUGACAUUUUCCCGUUACCGUAACUACAGAUUUUAUAUAAUACAUUCAGCGUGUACGUUUUCUUUUUCAAAAAUGGUGAUGAAACGACAGGAAGGAAUCCGGGUAACCGGAUCGGAUCAUACGAAAAAAUAAAAAGGAAGCAAAACUGUUUUAUCGACGAUGAGUAAACCCCGUUAGUUUAUACAUAAUGUCCAGUCGACUACAAUUUGCUCCAGAUCUCGUUGCCAUGCAUGGACGUCUACCUUCGCUCCACGGAAACAAAGAAUGAUAAAUACAGAACAUAAAUGGUUCUACAUUUUCUAUGAAGCAACUGGUUGUUGGAGGAGACCAUAGGGGCAUUGUUUUUAUGAAAGAUUGUUGAGUUUAUGAUUCAAGGAUUAAUUUGUUACAAGGAUACACUUGAAACUCAUUGCAAAGUGAUGAAGAACAAAGUAAAGAGCACAAUAAACCACAUUGCGGUUAUGUAUAAUAGAAUGAAGAUCUAGCAGCAACUAGACUGGACAGUCGUUAUUGGAGCAUCAAUAAAAAGCCAAGUUAUUGUUCUCCAAUAAAGUCACGACAGUUACGCGAUCCAGCGUGGGCCUCGUGGCUCGAUCCUUGGAUCGAUAACGCGAAAUCUCGUCUACGUUUCUCUCCCCGGGCACUUUCCAUCAGCGUCACGAGAAACCACUUUAUUUAUACCCAGAAAAUUCUUUUUCCAUCGUAGCCCACAAGUGGUGCUCGCUUGCCGGUACGUUCUAAUAUGCAAGCGUGGGCGUUAUCCCCCCCCCCCACCAUCCAAGAAUCUCCUACAGAACCAACAAUCGCGAAACCCUAAGUUGUAAUAAAACCAUUGUACGUGUUUGAACGAUCGUUCGACAAUAACCAUUUGUAGAAUACGAAUCAAGGAGUUGUUCGCAUGAACUUUAAGUAUUCAUGAUAUGUACACGCACGUGGUUCUUCGAGAUACCGGUCCGAGUGCCGUGAACUGUUACACGGCCUGCAAUCAGUAUUAACACGUCCCACAUAUUACGUAGGAUGAUAUUUGCUAUAAACAAUGAAGAAUGCACUUUGUAUUCAAAAAUAAUGAUAAUAGAAUAGAGAGCGGAGAAGGUAAGGGAACGAUUAAUCUCGUAUCACCUCCGCUGAAAAAAGUUACUAUUUGUUUACCCCAUUUCUUCCCAAACGCGAAGUUUGACUUCACAAAAUGCACAAGCUCCCUGUCUAUGUGUUUAUAUUUCACAAUUAGUCAUAAAAAUUUUAAUUUAAAAAUAAUUAUUAAUAAGAACACUUGGUGAAAAAAAAAUUAAUGAAAACAUGAAAGAAAUGUCGGGGGGUUUUUCAAAAUUUCAUGAGUGACGCCAUCAAUCUUGGUCAGUUUUUUCAUAUAAUCAACAAUGUUGUAAAUUUUGAGCAAAUAAAAAAAUUUUUUAUUUUUUUACCAGGAAACUUCCAUACUGCUAGUUUUUAAUAUUUACAAUGUUAUUUCAAUUAUUUUAAAGUGAAAUUAAUGACAAAAUACCAUAUUUUUUUACAAUUUUUAUUUUUGGGAAGAAAUGGGUUAGGUUAGGUUAGGUUGGGAAGAAAUGGGUUACUGAAUUGCAGAUUGUCGAGUUUGUGAUUCAAGGAUUAAUUUAUUCAGGUAGAAAACUGUUGAAGCAUGAAGGAGAGAGCUGUUGGCGAAAAACGCUGACACAUAAAUAUGCUAGAGGGUUGAAAGGUUUGAAAAGCUUAGCAAAAAAAAGCUUCCCUGAUAAAGGUAUUCUAAAGUGAAAAUCGAGGCCAAGCUGGAGGGAGUGAUUUCCAUAGCUUUUGCAAUGAACCAACAAUAUAUCCCAGCCGCCUGGUGGCGGAGCUGGUUGCCAGGCAGCGGGUUUCGUCCAGAAACCGAGGGAAACGCGAAGUUGCGUGAGGCGUCGGAUAUUUAUUGUAUACAUUGAGCAACGAUUAUGAAACGAAGCGCUGUGCAGGGAUAGAAAAUUUCUCCCUUACGUUACAUGCACGAUUUUUUUUUUAAUGGGUCUGAUGAGUCUGUAAAAUACAUGAAGCGGUGAUUGCACACCGUAUCAGGAACGGAAUACGGCUCCUGGAGCCCAGGACUAACCUUUAACCCUUUAUUCACUGAAUUUCUUGAAAGUUUUUAAAAUUUGUGCCAACCUUUUUAAAUACUUAAUAAACACCCUAUGGCACAAUUUUCAUUAUAAGUCUUCACCAAGGUCAUUAAUUACAUGGAAAAUAAUUUGGGACUUCGAAGUCCCGGAAGCACAUAAUAUUUGAAAUUUUUAAUUUUAUCAAAUAAUUCUGUGCAUAAUAUAAAAAAAUAGUCAAUAUUUUUGUGCUGCCA